This 492-nucleotide ribosomal RNA is filed under the name uncultured bacterium. RNAcentral's name for it is "partial 16S ribosomal RNA". It matches the Rfam family "Bacterial small subunit ribosomal RNA", at positions 29 to 507 of the family's 1533-position model. The record is from RNAcentral.
AGUGAACGCUGGCGGUAGGCCCAACACAUGCAAGUCGAACGGCAGCACAGUAAGAGCUUGCUCUUACGGGUGGCGAGUGGCGGACGGGUGAGGAAUACAUCGGAAUCUACUUUUUCGUGGGGGAUAACGUAGGGAAACUUACGCUAAUACCGCAUACGACCUACGGGUGAAAGCAGGGGAUCUUCGGACCUUGCGCGAUUGAAUGAGCCGAUGUCGGAUUAGCUAGUUGGCGGGGUAAAGGCCCACCAAGGCGACGAUCCGUAGCUGGUCUGAGAGGAUGAUCAGCCACACUGGAACUGAGACACGGUCCAGACUCCUACGGGAGGCAGCAGUGGGGAAUAUUGGACAAUGGGCGCAAGCCUGAUCCAGCCAUACCGCGUGGGUGAAGAAGGCCUUCGGGUUGUAAAGCCUUUUUGUUGGGAAAGAAAAGCAGCAGGUUAAUACCCCGCUGUUCUGACGGUACCCAAAGAAUAAGCACCGGCUAACUUCGUG